UUCCUAGUAUAGGAAACAUGCUAAGUGGAGGUGAUGAAGCGAUAACUGGCUUGGGGCAGCCAAGCGUUCAAAACGAUGUUGCCUCUCGAUCCUUCGAUGUCGGUUCUUCCUAUCAUACUGAAGCUGAAUUCAGUGAGCGUUAGAUUGUUCACCCAUUAAUAGGGGAACAAGACCUGGCGUUUAGGCUGUCGUGAGAUAGGUUUGUUUUACCCUACUGAUGACAUGUUAUUGCAAUAGUAAUUGAACUUUGUCCUCGAGGAACCGUUCAUUCGGAUAAUUGGUAUUUGGGCCUGUCUGAGCAGGCAAGGGCCAGAAGCUAUCAUCCGUUGGGUUAUGGCUGAACGCCUCUAAGUCAGAACCCGUGCUAGAACGCGACAAAUUUCCGUCUUUCUGAUUUAUAGUUGAAUACGAAUAGAUCUUCGGACCCUAAAUCAUAUUACAGGGGAUCGAUCUUGAAGAGUUACAAGGCGUUAUGUGGUUCCUGCUAAUGUUAAAUUCAAAUAUUGAAAGAGAUAGAUGGAGACGACUUUAAUUGAACGGGUUAUUGUAGGCAGUAGAGUUGCCUUGUUGCUACGAUCUGCUGACAUUAAGCCCGUUGUCCUAUAGAUUU
Molecule: non-coding RNA, 610 nt
Filed under: Linnemannia elongata AG-77
Lineage: Eukaryota; Fungi; Mortierellomycota; Mortierellomycetes; Mortierellales; Mortierellaceae
Description: Mortierella elongata AG-77 Eukaryotic large subunit ribosomal RNA
Rfam family: Eukaryotic large subunit ribosomal RNA
Source: Rfam by way of RNAcentral